UCUCAGGUAAUGCUACAGUAACUCUCAGGUAACUCUACAUUGACUCUCAUGUAACGUUACAUUAACUCUCAGGUAACUCUACAAUAACUCUCAAGUAACUCUAAAAUAACUGUCAGGUAACUCUAUAAUAACUCUCAGGUAAUGCUACAGUAACUCUCAGGUAACUCUACAUUGACUCUCAUAACUCCCCAUUAACUCUCAGGUAACUACAAUAACUCUCAGGUAACUCUACAAUAACUCUCAGGUAAUGCUACAGUAACUCUUAGGUAACUCUACAUUGACUCUCAUAACUCCCCAUUAACUCUCAGGUAACUACAAUAACUCUCAGGUAACUCUACAUUAACUCUUGUGUAACUCUACAUUGACUAUCAUAACUCCCCAUUAACUCUCAGGUAACUACAAUAACUCUCAGGUAACUCUACAUUAACUCUCAGGUAACUCUACAUUGACUCUCAUAACUCCCCAUUAACUCUCAGGUAACUACAAUAACUCUCAGGUAACUCUACAUUAACUCUCAAAUUACUCUACAAUAACUCUCAGGUAACUCUACAUUGACUCUCAUAACUCCCCAUUAACUCUCAGGUAACUACAAUAACUCUCAGGUAACUCUACAUUAACUCUCAAAUUACUCUACAAUAACUCUCAGGUAACUCUACAAUAACUCUCAGGUAAUGCUACAGUAACUCUUAGGUAACUCUACAUUGACUCUCAUAACUCCCCAUUAACUCUCAGGUAACUACAAUAACUCUCAGGUAACUCUACAUUAACUCUCAGGUAACUCUACAUUGACUCUCAUAACUCCCCAUUAACUCUCAGGUAACUACAAUAACUCUCAGGUAACUCUACAUUAAC
Long non-coding RNA from Austrofundulus limnaeus, 852 nucleotides. RefSeq lists it as uncharacterized. The transcript has 3 exons. The record is from RefSeq and is a predicted model, not a curated record. Lineage: Eukaryota; Metazoa; Chordata; Actinopteri; Cyprinodontiformes; Rivulidae.